Molecule: transfer RNA, 78 nt
Filed under: Vibrio phage RYC
Lineage: Duplodnaviria; Heunggongvirae; Uroviricota; Caudoviricetes
Description: tRNA-Met
Rfam family: tRNA
About the family: Transfer RNA (tRNA) molecules are approximately 80 nucleotides in length. Their secondary structure includes four short double-helical elements and three loops (D, anti-codon, and T loops).
Source: RNAcentral
GGCCCCUUAGCUCAGAUGGUUAGCAGCAACCGACUCAUAAUCGGUAGGUCACAGGUUCGAGUCCUGUAGGGGUCACCA